This 21-nucleotide microRNA is filed under the name Mus musculus (house mouse). RNAcentral's name for it is "mmu-miR-6990-5p". Lineage: Eukaryota; Metazoa; Chordata; Mammalia; Rodentia; Muridae. The record is from miRBase by way of RNAcentral.
CCCAGGGUGAGUCAGGGCUCU